UGCUCGCAGUGGCUGUCGUCAGCUCGUGUCGUGAGAGUGUUGGGUUAACGUCCCGACACGAGCGCAACCUUGCCUUUAGUUGCCAGCAGUUCGGCUGGGCACUCUAAAGGGACUGCCGGUGUUAAACCGGAGGAAGGUGGGGAUGACGUCAAGUCCUCAUGGCCUUUAUGACCAGGGCUACACACGUACUACAAUGGCCGAUACAAAGGGCAGCGACACUGCGAGGUGAAGCCAAUCCCGUAAAAUCGGUCUCAGUCCGGAUUGGAGUCUGCAACUCGACUCCAUGAAGUUGGAAUCGCUAGUAAUCGUGGAUCAGCAUGCCACGGUGAAUACGUUCCCGGGCCUU
Molecule: ribosomal RNA, 346 nt
Filed under: uncultured Desulfobulbus sp.
Lineage: Bacteria; Pseudomonadati; Thermodesulfobacteriota; Desulfobulbia; Desulfobulbales; Desulfobulbaceae
Description: bacterial SSU rRNA
Rfam family: Bacterial small subunit ribosomal RNA
Source: RNAcentral